AAAGCCUGAUCCAGCCAUGCCGCGUGUGUGAAGAAGGCCUUUUGGUUGUAAAGCACUUUAAGCGAGGAGGAGGCUACUUGGAUUAAUACUCUAGGAUAGUGGACGUUACUCGCAGAAUAAGCACCGGCUAACUCUGUGCCAGCAGCCGCGGUAAUACAGAGGGUGCGAGCGUUAAUCGGAUUUACUGGGCGUAAAGCGUGCGUAGGCGGCUUCUUAAGUCGGAUGUGAAAUCCCUGAGCUUAACUUAGGAAUUGCAUUCGAUACUGGGAAGCUAGAGUAUGGGAGAGGAUGGUAGAAUUCCAGGUGUAGCGGUGAAAUGCGUAGAGAUCUGGAGGAAUACCGAUGGCGAAGGCAGCCAUCUGGCCUAAUACUGACGCUGAGGUACGAAAGCAUGGGGAGCAAACAGGAUUAGAUACCCUGGUAGUCCAUGCCGUAAACGAUGUCUACUAGCCGUUGGGGCCUUUGAGGCUUUAGUGGCGCAGCUAACGCGAUAAGUAGACCGCCUGGGGAGUACGGUCGCAAGACUAA
Molecule: ribosomal RNA, 528 nt
Filed under: Thalassiosira minuscula
Lineage: Eukaryota; Bacillariophyta; Thalassiosirophyceae; Thalassiosirales; Thalassiosiraceae
Description: partial Bacterial small subunit ribosomal RNA
Rfam family: Bacterial small subunit ribosomal RNA
Source: RNAcentral